CUCUACAACCACACCACCCAGAACAUGCUCGAUUUUGUCAGUUCUCGGAAGCUAAAUAGGUCAGGUUUGGUUAGUACUUGCAUGGGAGACUAUGUGAGGGUUCCCCUGCCCUUGCAGGGC
RNAcentral lists this ribosomal RNA (120 nucleotides) under Octodon degus (degu). The record is from RNAcentral. Lineage: Eukaryota; Metazoa; Chordata; Mammalia; Rodentia; Octodontidae.